UCUUAGCCAUUAUCUAUAAAUCAAAGCAUGCUAAUAAUUUCCAUUGCUUUACUUUUUAAAUGACAUUAACCCUUUUCAUUUAGAAUGUUCUAGAAGCACAAUUAAGCCAAGAAAGUUUUCAGAUAUAUGGCUGUAUAGUAUGGCUGUUUAUACUGUAUGACCUUCACUGAGGAGGUUGACAUAAAAUACAAACACUUAAAAAUUGAAAAACACAAAAAAUAGGUUAGCACUAUCAAGCAGCAAUCAGAAAAAGCCCACAGGGUUCCUGGACAUGAAAAGGCAGAUUCCAUAGGGUUUUCGAGAGGCCUAGAUUAAUUUUUCCACAAAUGAGAGCAUGUGGAGGAAGGUAAUGAUAAUGGUGCUCACACUUGUGAUUCCCAUACCAGUUUUUGUCCCUAUAGGCUUACUGUAGGAGGUGUUCCCUACAGCCACCUAGGAAGUUGAUGACCUACGCUCUUACUUCUGCUUGCCAGGAGUAACUGAAAGCAAACACCACAGUCUGUUGUUUAUUAGCUUUUAAAGAUCAAAUCAACUGUUAGACUAACACGACUUCAUUCAAGAAAGCUGACUGCCAACCCUGCAGGGAGACUACUAAGUAAAUCUAGAGGAGAUAAGACAGAGUGGGAGUUUGCCUAAGUAAUCUCAGGGGAACAGUGAGCCAGGAAGUGACAUCAGAAGAGGCAAGCAGAACAUAAGUUUUCUCAGAAUAUUGACUGAUGAUGAACAAGCCAAUGAUGUGAGUGUGGCUGCAGCAAGGACCCUUCAAAUUUUCAGAGUUUUGUAGGUCAGAAGUCUGCACAGUUCUGCUGGGUUCCCUCCUCAAGUUCUCAACGGUCUGAAAUCAAGGAGUCUGCUGCUGGCUUUUAUCAGGAGCAUCUGGGGAAGAAUCUGCUUCAAGCUCAUCCAGGCUGUUGGCAGGAAUCCAGUCCUGUGAGGUUUCAGGUACCCACUGCCUUGCAGGGUAGUGGCUGCUUACUGCUUGCAGAAGCUCCUACAUUCCUUUUCACAUGGCCCUUCUGAUUUUCAAACCAGCAUUGAAGCACUGAGUUCUUUUCGCACUUCACAUUUCUCUGGCUUCCCGUUCCAUCAUCUGCUGAGAAGGCUCUCUGCCUUCACAGGCUCAUGUGAUUAGCUCAGGCCCACCCAGGAAAACCUCCCUAACUUAAGGUCAACUGUGCUAUGUAACAGAACAAUCAUGCGAGAGCUAUCUUGUCAUAUACGUGGGUUCUACAGAUCAGGUGAGGACUUUUGGGGAGGCAUUUUAGAAAUUCCAACUAUCACAAGGAUCUCCCUUAAAAAAAAAAUGGUUUAAUUUAUCUGUAACAUCCUAAAAGAAACAUCCAUAGCACAUGGCCUCUCAGCUGCACUAGGUGAUUACAUACAUUCAGAAUCAGGGCAAUACCAAAAGUGCUGUCUUAUGCAGGGAAAAAAACAGGCGUCCAUGUGACCUGGUAUACAUAUGUGUAAGAGAGUAUACUUCCAAGGAAAAAUUAACUUUUAAAAGCAAGUAUUAAAUCACAUAUGUCUUCAUCAUAUUAUAUGUCUUGAUUUGUCUUUACUGACUACUUAAUACAUAUAGAACAAAAAGUUAAACAUAGUCAAAUACAGUAUUUACAUUCAGUUCAUAUUAUAAAUAUUUCUGAAAAAUCUCAUAUGCCAGAUUGUGACUACCCUAUCAAUUUAAGGCAUGUAAAAAUGAUAUCAUGUAACAUCAUCUCACAUAUUGCAGCACAUAUCACUAUAUUUUAAAAGAAAAACCAUUAAGUUCAUUAAAUGAUAGACUCAUCUUUUGUUGUCUCUAUUGUGCUACCUAAUAUUAUUAGAAUUUUAAAGCUCUUAGCAUCUAUGCAGACCUGCACCUCCCUUUUGUGAAUAUUCCCAGCUUCUGAAGAAUUUCUGAUCUUUUGGAAACUCACAAAAUGCACUCAUUGUAGAAGGAAAUAUAUGGAUAUACUAAGGCCUCCAUAAAAUACCUAAGGCAAGCCAUUUUAUAUGUAUAAUUCAUAAACUCUUGUGAUUCAUAAAUGCAUUUGCAGCCUCCGGCAUAUUUUCCAUCGAGCCUUUCACAUGCUGUGUACUAUAUAGGAUGAAAAUGACCAACAGGGGAAUGAGGAGCUCUAAAACUUGUGUGGCUCUAGCACAUGGGUCACAUUUCUCACAUUUAAUAUCUAUAUUUACUUUCCCCAUAGCUUGGAGUUUUAGGUUCACACAGAUGUGUAUGGGCAUCUGAAACUAUGAAAUACAUUCAGAUGAUUUUAAAAAAAAACACAGCCUCAAUGAACACCUAAGAAGCCUGAUCAGUCCCUCCAAAAUAUUGUUAGAAUACAGCAUAGAGUAUAUCGUAAAUUUUAAAAGUCCUUAUUUAGGCCUUAAAUCCCACUGUUUGAGUUUCACUCCAUUUCUCUAAUUGAGAUUCCAGGUCUCUCCCCACUAGCCUGUCAUGAUGUUACUGACCACCAUUAUACCUAUUUAGGAAGUAAGCUUUCCAUGAAGCCUGGGAAGAGACGGGUUUUUUCAUAUGGUAAAUGUCACAGUCCAGCAGCCUGUUUGGGUAGCAGUAACUUUAUUUUUAUUUGGACUAGGCUGUGAAUCAAAACUUUUACAAAGGAAUUAGUGAGGCUCUCCAGACCUCACAUUUCAUGAGGAAAUAAAUAUUAAUACUUGGGACCUAAGUAACAUAGGGUAGAACUUUUUAUUUCUAGUAGAUUCCACAGGCUUUUUCUCUUUUGAUUCCCACAAAAACAAAAAUAUUAACUCACAUAUUUUGGAGUGACCAAUAUACUAGCAAAUUGCAAUAAACAGGAAUCUGAAUUGACUUGGGAAGAUCUAUGGUUAGCCUUCAUGUUAGAAAUAAGAUUCUCAAGUGUGUGUGGCCUCUGACUCCUUUCCAGAUGGCUAAAUGGGAUAGGAGCGGAGAGAUCAAAUCUCAGGCAGCAGCAUUCAUUCCCUGCAUUUACAUUAAGCACCUGUAUGUGCCCAGCCUUGUGAGUAGUACUUACAGGAAUAAAAUCGACAAUUACAGAAUCUAAGACAUGGCUCUUUGAUCUCAAAGAGCUCUUCUCUGAGGAGGUAAAAUAUGCACACUCAUAAAACAGAGUGUAAUUCAAGAAAGUUGGCCGGGCACGGUGGCUCAUGCGUGUAAUACCAGCACUUUGGGA
This 3158-nucleotide long non-coding RNA is filed under the name Homo sapiens (human). RNAcentral describes it as "HSALNT0020091". The record is from RNAcentral. Lineage: Eukaryota; Metazoa; Chordata; Mammalia; Primates; Hominidae.